This 359-nucleotide ribosomal RNA is filed under the name uncultured bacterium. RNAcentral describes it as "bacterial SSU rRNA". It matches the Rfam family "Bacterial small subunit ribosomal RNA", at positions 10 to 361 of the family's 1533-position model. The record is from RNAcentral.
AGUUUGAUCCUGGCUCAGAACGCAACGCUGGUCGGCGUGCUUAACACAUGCAAGUCGAACGCGAAAGAAUUCUUCGGAACUCGAGUAGAGUAGGCGCACGGGUGAGUAACGCGUAAGUAAUCUACCCUGGUGUCUGGAAUAACCUGCCGAAAGGUGAGCUAAUACCGGAUACGUUGAUUUAUCAAGAAAGAUGGCCUCUUCAUGAAAGCCAUUGCACCAGGAGGAGCUUGCGUACCAUUAGCUAGUUGGUAGGGUAAAGGCCUACCAAGGCGACGAUGGUUAGCGGGUCUGANGAGGAUGAUCCGCCACACUGGAACUGGAACACGGACCAGACUCCUACGGGAGGCAGCAGUGAGGAA